UGUUUGCACUUAGCGGGAAGGGUAAGAACCUUCGACUAAGGUUCGACUCGAGCGCCAGCGAGAGAACGUUGCCACAGGCAACGGCGCCGAAGGGCUAGGAGCGAUAGCGACGAGUUAUCCUUCCCCCACCACCA
Molecule: small RNA, 134 nt
Filed under: Klebsiella pneumoniae
Lineage: Bacteria; Pseudomonadati; Pseudomonadota; Gammaproteobacteria; Enterobacterales; Enterobacteriaceae
Description: RtT sRNA
Rfam family: RtT RNA
About the family: This family represents a bacterial cis-regulatory element known as RtT RNA. The exact function of RtT is unknown although it is thought that it may be involved in changing the cellular response in relation to amino acid starvation.
Source: RNAcentral